GGUUCACAUUCAUUCAUUCAUUUUUUAAUCAUUUAUCCAUCCCCACAGGCACUCCAAACGCACUGCCAAGGUUCGGUCUGUUCCCCAACCCGGUGAACACGGGCAGCCCAACCUGCUUUCACGGCGCCCGCAGACCCCCAGGCGCCUCUCAGAGCUCCGGUGGGAGAAAGGCACCUCGGGAUCCCUGGGGAUUCUCAUCCCCGUAACUCAAGGAGCCUGCUGAAGCACAGCCACGGCCACAGGAGCCGCUCGGGUGAUUCCGGACCGUGUUUUCACGGCGGAAGCCAAAAACGCCCGUUCCCCUUCGGCAGCCGCCGCGGGACCGGCGCAGGUAUUUUGCUUAUAMUCCGGAGAAGAAAAAAGCGUAUUUCCAACAGUUCAGUAAUCAYGCUUUACAUCCUCACUGUCUUCUGGAGUGGCUGCUCCUUCCCCACCACUGUGCCCGUGCUGGAGCAGKCUGUGUUCCCAAUGCUCCCAGCCCAUGCCCAUGUUGCCUAUGCUGUCUGUGCAGCUGGAGGAAAACAGAUCGGGCACCAGAAACAACGUGGCCUUCUGCCAGCCCCUUCCAAUUCUGUUAGUUAUUAUUAAUAUUUUGCUUUCACUGUCUCACAGAUGAGAAUGAGCAUGUUUUUUUUUCCUGGCUUACUCGGAUCACUGCCUACCUUUACAUUCCCAUAUAAGAAGUUAAAAUCUGGACUUGC
Long non-coding RNA from Malurus melanocephalus (red-backed fairy wren), 701 nucleotides. RefSeq lists it as uncharacterized. The record is from RefSeq and is a predicted model, not a curated record. Lineage: Eukaryota; Metazoa; Chordata; Aves; Passeriformes; Maluridae. The transcript is spliced from 2 exons.